This 319-nucleotide long non-coding RNA is filed under the name Monodelphis domestica (gray short-tailed opossum). RNAcentral describes it as "lncRNA (ENSMODG00000036452.1)". The record is from RNAcentral. Lineage: Eukaryota; Metazoa; Chordata; Mammalia; Didelphimorphia; Didelphidae.
AGGCAACCAUGUAUCCACAGAGAGCGCUCUGCAUUCCAUCUUUGAUAGCUGUGCCAUAGGUUUGUCAUCAUUGACCUAGACUGUAUUCGCCUCCUCACUGUUUGCAAGAGGUGGAAACCCAGAUCAAGGGCAGACUAUGAAGACCUGAAUAAAGAGAAGCAUGUUUUAGAGAUAGUGUGGUGGAUGUGGUAGGUAUGACUUGGAGUAAGGAAAAUCUAACUUUGAAUCCAGCCUGAAACUAAGGAGCUGUGAGACCCCAAGUAAGUAAUUUUUCUCUAUAUGAUUCAAUUUCCUCAUCUAUAAAAAGGGAAGGGUGACU